CUACGGGAUGCAGCAGUGAGGAAUUUUGCGCAAUGGGGGAAACCCUGACGCAGCAACGCCGCGUGAGUGAUGAAGGCCCUCGGGUCGUAAAGCUCUGUCAAGUGGGAAGAACCUACUUAUGGGUAAUAUUCAUGGGUACUGACGGUACCACUGAAGGAAGCACCGGCUAACUCCGUGCCAGCAGCCGCGGUAAUACGGGGGGUGCAAGCGUUAUUCGGAAUUAUUGGGCGUAAAGGGCGCGUAGGCGGUCCUGUUAGUCAGAUGUGAAAGCCCGGGGCUCAACCCGGGAAGUGCAUUUGAAACGGGAGGACUUGAGUAUGGGAGAGGGAAGUGGAAUUCCUGGUGUAGAGGUGAAAUUCGUAGAUAUCAGGAGGAACAUCUGUGGCGAAGGCGACUUCCUGGACCAAUACUGACGCUAAUGCGCGAAGGCGUGGGUAGCAAACAGGAUUAGAUACCCCCGUAGUC
This 465-nucleotide ribosomal RNA is filed under the name uncultured bacterium. RNAcentral describes it as "partial 16S ribosomal RNA". It matches the Rfam family "Bacterial small subunit ribosomal RNA", at positions 339 to 795 of the family's 1533-position model. The record is from RNAcentral.